CAUGUUACAAUAACGUGCAUUCUUCCAUCGCGAGUAAGAAGAAUACUUUCUUCGAAUCGCGUAUACAUAACUCGUGAAUGUGACAGAUUAAAUAAAGAACAGUCGAGCAGUAUCUGUCUCAAUAAAAUAAAAAACAUUUUGAAAGAAUGUUGAUAGAGAAUAAAAUAUAAAAUAGGAAUGCGAUAGUAAUGUUAAUAGUCAACAGAAAUUUCCCACAAACCGUAACGAUCGUGAUAAAUGAGUCUUUUUAACGAAUGAAUAAAAUAUAAUGUUUAUGUGUAUUUAGUAAUAUUCAUCAAAUUUACACCGACAAUACUGUUAUUUAUUGUACAAGGAUAGUAAGAUAGAAGUGAUAUAAAAAUCGUGUAUUAUCUGAAAGAGUAAACCGAAGCGUUUGUCUAAUGCUAAGUGUCGACUUGAGAGUAAAAUUAUCGCGUGUUGCUCUCGAGAGCGUUUCUUUCAUGUGGACAUUGCAUUUAAAGUUUAGUUACAUGUUGAUAUUUACGACUGAUAGUUGCGAUUUAUCCUCGUAUGGAUACAAAUCAUAUUACUAUCGGACAAUUACUCGCAGCAGUUUCGAAUUCUUGAGAGAACUCUCGUGCGAGCUGUCACUCGAAUCUCUCCUGUUCUCAGGUUGGUUUACGUAGCCCGUGGAUGACAAUCGCCUGCAUAAUGCCAUCUCAGGAUGGGUUUUGAAUCUCAAAUGAACACGAUUCUGAGAGCUGUGUCUGACAGGAAGUUCUCGGUUGAAAGGAUCAUUGAGAAAAAUCACUUACGUUUCCUCCAGCGGUAAAUUUUUAAUUACCGUGUCGCAGGUAUUCUUCAUAUACUUGUUAUAACCAAGGAAGCCAAACAUCGUGCACAAGCAGGUAUUAAGCAACAUGUUGCAUGUUAUCAAUCGUGGCAAAUGUUCCGGAUUCUUCAUCGAGUUCUCCAGUGGUAGGCACAAGGUCACAUUAUGAAGAGCGUACAGGAACAGAUUGCAAUACAUCGGAACUGGCAAAGCUUGCGUAAAAGCUUCUAAUCUUGCAGGAUCGGGCAAAUCUUCGAAGAGAUAGUACAGGGUAACGGAAAUACCAAUUAACAUAAACAGAGCACCGACCACGGAAAAUGGUGUCAGAUACUUCAAGUUCGGAAUGAAACUCAAUAGACAGACGAAGGGAAACAAUGCUAGUAUGUAGAUCCGAUCAUCCAUUUUAACGUCGAAGAAAAAUUCAAUCAGCUGAAAAUGAAUAAUUUUUUUAGUAAUUAAUAAUCUCUUCGGUAAUGAAUAAUUUUGCAAUUGUAUAAAACGUAACUUAUAAUGAAUUUCGCGUGGUUGUAAAACUCGUACGAAUGUAAUCGCAAUGGUAUGAUAAAUAACGCGCACUGGAUGCGUUGUAAGAACAUCUAAACGAAUGGAGAAAGGAUGGUAGGUUGUACUUUUCUGAGGUAUAUACGCGUAUAUACGUUGUACGAAUGUAAGAUAAUAUGAAUGAUCGAUCAGAUAAAAUAUGCAACAUAUGAUGAAUAGGUUCAGAGUAUGUGGUCAUCUUCGAGAGAUGAAUUGUUCGGGUAUAUCAUACGAAUUGCUUAAGCUCUUAAUGUAUAAAUUUUUCUUUUUAUUUAGCAAUGAAAAAUGAAUGGACCUUUUACAUUAAAAGACGACUAACGAAUGAAGAUGCAUAUCUUUCAUAUAUCUUUUCUAAUAUAAAUGGUCUAGGGCAAUGAUGAUUUAGUGCUUGAAUCCAUAAAGAUCAAUGACUAAAGCAUUCAGAAUGUUUUUAUGUCUACGUUAUAUUACAGAUAUGUGCGUUAGGUGAUCAAUUAAUGAGAUUUUUCGGUAUAGAAGAAGAGAUUCUACAUUAAAAUGUUUCAUUACGUAAUGAACUUCUGAUUCGCGAAUAAUUACAAUACAAGAAAUAGGAGGCAUGUUAAUGUUCAUACAACUGGUGAAAAACAAAAGAUCACACUAAAAUAUCACAGUUAUCUUCCACAUAAAAACUCUAUUUGCACAAAAGGACUUAAGGUGUGUGUAAAGCAUUUAUUUUUACAAGCUUGUGCAUAAUGAUAGAGUGAAAACGUCGAAGGUAAAUAUUAAAUUUAAGAUCGCCAAUCAGUUAUCUCAGAACCUAAAUAAAUUAAUGGCGAGUUGAGAAUUAAAUAGCUAAAUAACAAUACCAGAUAUUUAUGCUUUACCUUAUGUUUAAUUUAUGCUUAUGUGUAUCCAAUUGUCAUUAAAUUAUAUAAGCAGAGUUCAAUUUUUUAUAUGAAUUUCAUUUGAAAUUUAAUAACACAGAGUACUGCCAACUGGUGAUACAAGAUGAAAGAAACUAAAUCUACGUGAAAAUCAUGUCGAGAAUGUAAGGCAAUAUUUUUACAGGAAAUUGUAUACAGGGUGGUUGGUAACUGGUGGUACGCGAAAAAAGAAGUCGAAAAUAUAGAAUAAAAAAUUUUUGUUUUAAUUUUUUUUUUAAUUUUUUUAAAAAUCUACAGUGAGAUUCGUUAUAACGAGGCCUGAUAAAGUGCACGCGUACAGAGCAAAAAUUCAAAGUCGAUUUUCUCGAAAACAAAGUCUCAAACGAAAAAUUUUUAUUCUAUAUUUUCGACUUCUUUUUUCGCGUAGAAUCGCCCCCCUUUCCGCUUGUAUCACCAGUUACCAACCACCCUGUAUAUUAUAUUCAUUUAUACAUUACACAUUAGGCAUUAUAAUGAUAACCUAAUUCUAAAGCAAAUUGCCAUACAGAUGAGUCUCUAUAUUUUGAUCUCAAUAGGUCAUUGACUAAAAUUAUUUCAAAGAUUCAUGGUAGGUGUUAUUAACAUUAUAUUUUCGAAGAUAAAAAAUUAUGAUAAAAUCUAAUCGCCUAUUUGCUUAUAAAUAUUACGACACCUGAUGAUCUCAUACAGCACAUGAUAAUUGAUCUAGAUAAUUGAGAAACUAAUUAGUCCAAUAGAACUCCGUACUUGUAUAAGAUAACAGUUUGAGAUACGUAAUAGAAAAUUGCGAAAGCUAUUUAUAAAAAUCCUCAAGAGAAAAAAAAUUUAAUAAUUAUAUGAUAGUGCUUAUACAAUUCUCUAACCUAAACUUCACUGUGAGGAUUUAAGAUAAAUUACAUAUAUAACUCAAACAUUUGAUUUAUGGAAUCGUUUACAGAGUGUGUGAUCAAAUAACGGCAUGUAAAGCAUAGUAGAAUAUCUGAUAUAAACAUAAUCAAAAACUUAAUAACACGAAUGUCAUAAUUGAUUAAAACAAUAAUAGAGUAAGUGACAAAAAUAUCGUUUGAUUCUACCGUGCAAUUCUGUCUGGUAUUAUAUUGAAUAUGUGAGUGCUCUGUAACAGUUUCAAACGAGGUUUAGUAAUUUGCUAAUAGUUUACCAGGUUUGCUUUAUUUUGCGGUAAGUGUCUUAAUACUUGUGAGGAUCAAUCAGACUUAGAAGUGUAUCAAUCAGAAAAGAAGUAACAGUUUUCUAUACUUCUGCAAUUUCAAUUGUACAUUACAAAAAGUAAUAUUUAAUUUUCUCUAAUUUCUCAAUGCCGUAAAUUUUGAAAAGGAGAAUCACAAUUAAAAACUGUGUCAUCGCUACGAACUUUAAUCAUGUAACAUAUUAAACUGUUUGAAUGCUAGGA
Long non-coding RNA from Bombus huntii, 3607 nucleotides. RefSeq lists it as uncharacterized. The transcript is spliced from 3 exons. NCBI's taxonomy places the organism in Eukaryota, Metazoa, Arthropoda, Insecta, Hymenoptera, Apidae. The record is from RefSeq and is a predicted model, not a curated record.